AGAUAAAUGAUGAGGAUUACAAAUCUGAAUUAUUAUGUUGAUUCUAACUGAAUUAGCCUUCAAAGUUCUCUGAUUUCU
Small nucleolar RNA from Impatiens glandulifera, 78 nucleotides. RefSeq annotates it as small nucleolar RNA R160. The record is from RefSeq and is a predicted model, not a curated record. NCBI's taxonomy places the organism in Eukaryota, Viridiplantae, Streptophyta, Magnoliopsida, Ericales, Balsaminaceae. The transcript has a single exon.